GGGCGUUUGGUCUAGUGGUAUGAUUCUCGCUUUGGGUGCGAGAGGUCGCGAGUUCGAUUCUUGCAACGCCCC
Non-coding RNA from Triticum aestivum (bread wheat), 72 nucleotides. The record is from Rfam. NCBI's taxonomy places the organism in Eukaryota, Viridiplantae, Streptophyta, Magnoliopsida, Poales, Poaceae.